RNAcentral lists this transfer RNA (74 nucleotides) under bacterium. RNAcentral describes it as "tRNA-Asp". It matches the Rfam family "tRNA". Rfam says of the family: Transfer RNA (tRNA) molecules are approximately 80 nucleotides in length. Their secondary structure includes four short double-helical elements and three loops (D, anti-codon, and T loops). RNAcentral also lists the same sequence under 2 other names. The record is from RNAcentral.
GCCCUGAUAGUGUAGUUGGCCUAUCAUGUGACCCUGUCACGGUCACGACCCGGGUUCGAAUCCCGGUCAGGGCG